CAGUAGCCGCGGUAAUACGAAGGGUGCAAGCGUUAAUCGGAAUUACUGGGCGUAAAGCGUGCGUAGGCGGUUUGUUAAGUCUGCUGUGAAAUCCCCGGGCUCAACCUGGGAAUGGCAGUGGAUACUGGCAAGCUAGAGUGUGUCAGAGGACGGUAGAAUUCCCGGUGUAGCGGUGAAAUGCGUAGAGAUCGGGAGGAACAUCAGUGGCGAAGGCGGCCAUCUGGGACAACACUGACGCUGAGGCACGAAAGCGUGGGGAGCAAACAGGAUUAGAUACCCCCGUAGUCCCUGUCUCUUAUAC
This 301-nucleotide ribosomal RNA is filed under the name uncultured bacterium. RNAcentral describes it as "partial 16S ribosomal RNA". It matches the Rfam family "Bacterial small subunit ribosomal RNA", at positions 509 to 807 of the family's 1533-position model. The record is from RNAcentral.